This is a long non-coding RNA of Zalophus californianus (California sea lion), 582 nucleotides long. RefSeq lists it as uncharacterized. The record is from RefSeq and is a predicted model, not a curated record. Lineage: Eukaryota; Metazoa; Chordata; Mammalia; Carnivora; Otariidae. The transcript is spliced from 3 exons.
CAGCCUUCGGCUGGAGCUGGCAGAGGCAAGGAGUCGAAGACCCAUGAGCAGGAGGCGUUUGCAGGUGGAGAGGCAGCUGUGUGUGCUGAGUGCGCGAUGAGACAGAGAGACAGAACAUGUGAGGAAGGAGGGAAAGAAGGGGAUGCAGAAGGUCAAGAGCCCCUCAGGUGGAUGGACCCAGCUCCCAACAGCCCCUCCAGGCCCAGGGUCUCAGCCGUCAUGGGGUCGGGGCCAGCACAGUGCAGCAGGGAGACGCUGCUUCCCUCUGCCCGACAACAGAGGAGAACUGAGGCGCAGAGCAGUUAAGCAGGUUUCCCAGAAGCCCUUCGCUCCUCCAUUGUCCCUGAGUACAUGGAGGGGUAGAGGGUUUGGAUCUCAGGUUCUUAGUAGGGAAACCAGCCCUGGGGUUGGUGAGUCUGCUCUGUGUGCUCUGUGUGGAAUGCCAGGAGGCCCAGGGAACCUGUGCUGAGGACAAAGUAGAGCCCCAUCCCUGUCCACCCCACCUGUGGUGCACCUGCUGAAUCAGGCGCUGCCAGCACCUGGCCGGGAGCAGGAUGUUCGUGUGGGGAAGUGCUGAACAAC